GUACGACCAGCCGCUUCGAAAAGGACCUUGUCAUUGAGCCCAAGACGAAGUUCAGGCAUUCCUGAUAAGUAGCAUUUGAGACGAACUUUUCCUAAGAUUUCACUUUGAAUGACCGUACCAUCGGCAGCAGCAAUUAAAUUAACUGAUUCAAUAACGUCCAAAAAUACUUCAUUCUUACGAUAGUGAAUUCCUUCAGAACGCCAGGAGAUAGCAUUUGUCAUAGCAAUGGGGGGUGGAGCAUGCUUUUUUACCGUAUUUGAGGUUUGAGUGAUGUAUUCUUGCAAGAUUUUUGUUUCAGUUGUUUGUGGAAAACCGAAAUCCAUGAUCUCGUCUAACAAUUCAUAAACAAGAACAAAGUUAUCUCGAAUCGACUCUUCCUGCAAUUCUUUAAAGUAAUCUAUAAAAACGUCCGCCAUUUUACGCAAAAAUACUAGCAUCUCCAUUGCAUCGGAAUUCAUUUUGGAUAAAGCAAGGAGGUAGACAUCAUUAUGGUGAAUGUAAAUGUACUGAAAAGUGUUAGUACGACCAUAAAAAAAUAAGAAUUGUUGGCUUUCAUAAUAUCUAACUUUUACAUACGUUAAUGCCUUCGUGAGUGAGACAAGGGGUGGAGAAUCCUUGUUCUUCUUCAACUUCUGAUUUUAAAGGUAAAAACUUUUCAACUACUGACAUGGGGAUAUCAGCUCUAAUUGUUUUCUGUUAGUAACCUGUCGACGAAUUGCGACAAUCUGAUUUUCAUUCAGAUUUCAAAAUUGCCUACCGGUAAUCACGGGAAAUGAUUACCUUUCCCUUUAAAUUCAGAACGAAUAUAGCAGAAGCCAUUUUUACAGAAGCCGCGAAUAAGGCAGCUAGUUUCGCUCUGGAUAACUAGCAUUGACUGUUGGCUGCCUCAUCACCGUGCCUAAGCACCGCUAGUGUAAUACAGCGUAAUUCACUAUUUCUGUUUCUUACAUAUAGUACGAAAUUCUUCUUAUAUUGAGUAAUUACUACUCUAUGCACACAUUCAGUCUUCUUUUAUAAGAUAAUCUAUUCAGAUAAUUAUAACUAAUUUACAUUAUAUGGUUUUGUAAAUGCCGAAAAGGAAAAUAAUUUUUCUGACAAUGUAAGAAAAUUUCGGUAUGUUUUAUUUGACAACUUUGGCUUAUAACAAUAAGAAUAACA
Schizosaccharomyces pombe (fission yeast) is the source of this 1158-nucleotide non-coding RNA. Lineage: Eukaryota; Fungi; Ascomycota; Schizosaccharomycetes; Schizosaccharomycetales; Schizosaccharomycetaceae. The record is from the annotation of a GenBank genome assembly.